RNAcentral lists this ribosomal RNA (497 nucleotides) under uncultured bacterium. RNAcentral describes it as "partial 16S ribosomal RNA". It matches the Rfam family "Bacterial small subunit ribosomal RNA", at positions 28 to 507 of the family's 1533-position model. The record is from RNAcentral.
GAUGAACGCUGGCGGCGUGCCUAGUACAUGCAAGUCGAGCGAACAGAUGAGAAGCUUGCUCCUCUGACGUUGGCGGCGGACGGGUGAGUAACACGUGGAUAACCUACCUAUAAGACUGGGAUAACUUCGGGAAACCGGAGCUAAUACCGGAUAAUAUAUUGAACCGCAUGGUUCAAUAGUGAAAGACGGUUUUGCUGUCACUUAUAGAUGGAUCCGCGCCGCAUUAGCUAGUUGGUAAGGUAACGGCUUACCAAGGCAACGAUGCAUAGCCGACCUGAGAGGGUGAUCGGCCACACUGGAACUGAGACACGGUCCAGACUCCUACGGGAGGCAGCAGUAGGGAAUCUUCCGCAAUGGGCGAAAGCCUGACGGAGCAACGCCGCGUGAGUGAUGAAGGUCUUCGGAUCGUAAAACUCUGUUAUUAGGGAAGAACAAAUGUGUAAGUAACUAUGCACGUCUUGACGGUACCUAAUCAGAAAGCCACGGCUAACUACGUG